UAGGGAAUCUUCCACAAUGGACGCAAGUCUGACGGAGCAACGCCGCGUGAGUGAAGAAGGUCUUCGGAUCGUAAAGCUCUGUUGUUGGUGAAGAAGGAUAGAGGCAGUAACUGGUCUUUAUUUGACGGUAAUCAACCAGAAAGUCACGGCUAACUACGUGCCAGCAGCCGCGGUAAUACGUAGGUGGCAAGCGUUGUCCGGAUUUAUUGGGCGUAAAGCGAGCGCAGGCGGAAUGAUAAGUCUGAUGUGAAAGCCCACGGCUCAACCUGGAACUGCAUCGGAAACUGUCAUUCUUGAGUGCAGAAGAGGAGAGUGGAACUCCAUGUGUAGCGGUGGAAUGCGUAGAUAUAUGGAAGAACACCAGUGGCGAAGGCGGCUCUCUGGUCUGCAACUGACGCUGAGGCUCGAAAGCAUGGGUAGCGAACAGGAUUAGAUACCCUGGUAGUCCAUGCCGUAAACGAUGAGCGCUAGGUGUUGGGGACUUUCCGGUCCUCAGUGCCGCAGCAAACGCAUUAAGCGCUCCGCCUGGGGAGUACGACCGCAAGGUUGAAAC
This 553-nucleotide ribosomal RNA is filed under the name uncultured bacterium. RNAcentral's name for it is "partial 16S ribosomal RNA". It matches the Rfam family "Bacterial small subunit ribosomal RNA", at positions 355 to 900 of the family's 1533-position model. The record is from RNAcentral.